This 270-nucleotide ribosomal RNA is filed under the name uncultured Enterobacteriaceae bacterium. RNAcentral's name for it is "partial 16S ribosomal RNA". It matches the Rfam family "Bacterial small subunit ribosomal RNA", at positions 1114 to 1382 of the family's 1533-position model. Lineage: Bacteria; Pseudomonadati; Pseudomonadota; Gammaproteobacteria; Enterobacterales; Enterobacteriaceae. The record is from RNAcentral.
GUUGCCAGCGAGUAAUGUCGGGAACUCAAAGGAGACUGCCGGUGAUAAACCGGAGGAAGGUGGGGAGUGACGUCAAGUCAUCAUGGCCCUUACGAGUAGGGCUACACACGUGCUACAAUGGCAUAUACAAAGAGAAGCGAACUCGCGAGAGCAAGCGGACCUCAUAAAGUAUGUCGUAGUCCGGAUUGGAGUCUGCAACUCGACUCCAUGAAGUCGGAAUCGCUAGUAAUCGUAGAUCAGAAUGCUACGGUGAAUACGUUCCCGGGCCUU